UGAGGAAUCUUGCGCAAUGGGGGAAACCCUGACGCAGCAACGCCGCGUGAGUGAGGAAGGUCUUCGGAUCGUAAAGCUCUGUCGGAUGGAAAGAACCGCAUGAAGGUUAACAGCCUUUGUGUUUGACGGUACCAUCAAAGGAAGCACCGGCUAACUCCGUGCCAGCAGCCGCGGUAAUACGUAGGGGGCGAGCGUUAUUCGGAAUUACUGGGUGUAAAGGGUAUGUAGGCGGCCCUUCAAGUCGCGUGUCAAAGUCCAGUGCUCAACGCUGGGUGUGCGCGCGAUACUGACGGGCUUGAGGGCUGGAGAGGUGAGCGGAAUUCCCGGUGUAGUGGUAAAAUACGUAGAGAUCGGGAGGAACACCAGCGGCGCAGGCGGCUCACUAGACAGUUUCUGACGCUAAGAUACGAAAGCGUGGGGAGCAAACA
RNAcentral lists this ribosomal RNA (428 nucleotides) under uncultured prokaryote. RNAcentral's name for it is "bacterial SSU rRNA". It matches the Rfam family "Bacterial small subunit ribosomal RNA", at positions 355 to 774 of the family's 1533-position model. The record is from RNAcentral.